This 253-nucleotide ribosomal RNA is filed under the name uncultured bacterium. RNAcentral describes it as "partial 16S ribosomal RNA". It matches the Rfam family "Bacterial small subunit ribosomal RNA", at positions 524 to 776 of the family's 1533-position model. The record is from RNAcentral.
UACAGAGGUGGCAAGCGUUGUUCGGAAUUACUGGGCGUAAAGGGCGCGUAGGCGGUCUUGUAAGUCUUGUGUGAAAUCCCUCGGCUCAACUGAGGAACUGCACGGGAUACUGCGAGACUUGAGUUCGGGAGAGGGAAGCGGAAUUCCGGGUGUAGCGGUGAAAUGUGUAGAGAUCCGGAGGAACACCAGUGGUGCAAACGGCGCCCUGGGUCCGAACUGACGCUGAAGCACGAAAGCGUGGGGAGCGAACGGG